Molecule: ribosomal RNA, 305 nt
Filed under: uncultured bacterium
Lineage: Bacteria
Description: bacterial SSU rRNA
Rfam family: Bacterial small subunit ribosomal RNA
Source: RNAcentral
UUUUGCCUACGGGAGGCAGCAGUGAGGAAUAUUGGUCAAUGGCCGAGAGGCUGAACCAGCCAAGUCGCGUGAGGGAAGACGGCCCUACGGGUUGUAAACCUCUUUUGUCGGGGAGCAAAGCGAGUCACGUGUGACUCAUUGAGAGUACCCGAAGAAAAAGCAUCGGCUAACUCCGUGCCAGCAGCCGCGGUAAUACGGAGGAUGCGAGCGUUAUCCGGAUUUAUUGGGUUUAAAGGGUGCGCAGGCGGAGGUGCAAGUCAGCGGUCAAAUUGCGGGGCGCAACCCCGUACUGCCGUGGAAACGGG